Molecule: ribosomal RNA, 391 nt
Filed under: Bentholebouria aff. georgenascimentoi lineage 2 ZL-2015
Lineage: Eukaryota; Metazoa; Platyhelminthes; Trematoda; Plagiorchiida; Opecoelidae
Description: SSU rRNA
Rfam family: Eukaryotic small subunit ribosomal RNA
Source: RNAcentral
CUGGUGCCAGCAGCCGCGGUAACUCCAGCUCCAGUGGCAUAUAUUAAAGUUGUUGCAGUUAAAAAGCUCGUAGUUGGAUCUGGGUCGGAUGGCUGUGCGCCGUGCUUGCGUUCUCGGUCUGGUUUUGCCGGGUCGGGUCGGUGAGUCGGUGUCGCGGUCGUUCGGUCUUUCUGCUGUGUCUGUGAAAACAGGUGCUGACAUUUGUUGGCAUGCUCCCGUGUGCCCUUCAAUGGGUGUCGGGGGUGGACGGCAUGUUUACUUUGAACAAAUUUGAGUGCUCAAAGCAGGCCCAUGUGCCUGAAAAGUUUUGCAUGGAAUAAUGGAAUAGGACUUCGGUCUUAUUUUGUUGGUUUUCGGAUCCGAAGUAAUGGUUAAGAGGGACAGACGGGGG